Non-coding RNA from Oryctolagus cuniculus (rabbit), 13820 nucleotides. The record is from RefSeq and is a predicted model, not a curated record. NCBI's taxonomy places the organism in Eukaryota, Metazoa, Chordata, Mammalia, Lagomorpha, Leporidae.
UCCUGGAGCACAUCGGAGAUCAACACAGUCUUAGCCCGGAGCCAAGACUGCUGUCACCCACGUUUUUGACGCUGCCUGGCAACUUCCGGUGCUGCUGUGCUUACUGGGAGGAAGAGGCGGGUCCUAGAUGGCUGGCGCUUGCGCAGUCGGCCUGGUGGAGAGCAAGACGGUAUUAUCUGCUGGUGGCGGCAUGUCAUCGGCAGCCGGAAUUCUCGGCUGAUGGCGGCGUUUUCGGCAGCUGUACUGGCCCAGAGAGUGCGGGAGUGAAGACAUUUUCAUCAAUAUGAAAUUGGACACUGAGUUGACAAGGAAGUUCAGCUGCUGGGUAAUCUUCCAUUUCUGGAACCUCCUUGGCUUCCUGGUAAAACCCAGCUGUGCCUUCACCCUGGACAGGAGCAACUGACGUUUUCAUGGAUAUGAAAUUGGACACUGAGUUGACAAGGAAGUUCAGCUGCUGGGUAAUCUUCCAUUUCUGGAACCUCCUUGGCUUCCUGGUAAAACCCAGCUGUGCCUUUACCCUGGACAGGAGCAACUGAGCACGGAUGUGAAACUCACCCAGAGUGGACGCUGAAGCUCAGCUGCUGGGUGUUCUUCCAGUUCUGGAGACUGCACAGCUUCCUGCUCAAUGUCAGCUGGACCUUCUUCCGGGAGAGAAGCAACUGUUCUGCCAUAUGACGGUGCACGGACAUUAGCCACCGAAGCUUCACCAGACACGGAGUCCCCUAACACUGUGACCUUGGACUUACCAGCCUCCAAAAGACCGUCGGACACAUUGCUGGGGAAAGCCAGACAUGAGCCUCCUUCAGCACCGGACAGAGCCUAGGAUCCGGCUGGGCUCAGGACCUCCCCUCCCAUCUCUAGUCCCAUGAGGAAUGUUUGUUCCCGUUCUCUGCUGGGGGAGUUUUUUCAUGGCGGGGCCUCAUCCUCGACGAAGCUGUGGGACUCAGAGCCAGGCUCUGUGUGGCCCGACGAUCCUGCUGACCCGGCCUCCUGCAGACCAUGGGCCGCCAUACCCCUGGCCGCAUUUCCAGCUUUUCAAGUGGGAAGAAACCACCCCGCGUCCCAGGACUUGCACUUCUGUGGGCCAUCCUCAGCAAGACAUUUUCAUGGAUAUGAAACUGGACACCGAGUUGACGCUGAAGUUCAGCUGCUGGGUAAUCUUCCAUUUCUGGAGCUUGCUCAGCUUCCUUGUAAAACCUGGCUGGGCCUUUGCCCUGGACAGGAGCAACUGGUUCGGCGGCAGCGGGGGUGGGCAGCGGCUCAGCCAUGAGGAAGCCAAGAAGCGAUGUCUGCCUCCCCUCCUCCCUCCCAGAGGACCUGGAUGUGAAACUAACCCAGAGUGGAUGCUGAAGCUCAGCUGCCAAGUAAUCUCCCAUUCCCAGAGAGACUGCACAGCUUCCUGCUCAAUGCCAGCUGGGCCUUCUUCCUGGAGAGGAGCAACUGGGGCCCAAGCCUUUGGGCCAUCUUCCAUUGCUUUCUCAGGCCAUCAGCAAGGAAAAGGAUCGGAAGUGGAGAAGCUGGACUUGAACUGGUGCCCAUAUGGGAUGCCAGCACCACAAUGGAUGCUUAACCUACUAUGCCACAGUUCCGGCCCCAGUGUUCUGUUCUUAACCACUGGUUUGUCCAAGUUAUCAAACAGUGUUUUCUAGGAGUAUAUUUGCAGCAAUAGUGAUACACAUUGGCAUUUUUUUUGUUGUUUUUGUGUUUUGAAUGUUUCAAAAAGUUAACUUCCACAUGUAAGGUAAUACAUGUGGUAUUUUUCUUUUUCUGGCUGAUUUCUCUAAGAUGAAGUCCUCCAGUAACUCCAUUUUGAUGCACUUGAUAAAAUUUCAUUAUUUUUAAGUCCUGAAUAACAUUUGAUCAUUAAUCUAUAACAUUUUUUUGCUUAGUAAUUCAUCUGAUGAUGGAAAUCUUUGUUUAAUCUUCAUAAAUAAAUCCUUGUUUAUUCCUUGUGGCUGCUGUGAACCAUAUUGCAAUAAACAUGGUGGUGGUGGUAUCUGUUUUUUUUUUUCUUUUUUUGGACAGGCAGAGUUAGUAAGAGAGAGACAGAGAGAAAGGUCUUCCUUUCUGUUGGUUCACCCUUCAAAUGGCUGCUACAGCUGGUGUGCUGCACCAAUCCAAAACGAGGAGCCAGGUGCUUCCUCCUGGUCUCCCAUGCAGGUGCAGGGCCCAAGGACCUGGGCCAUCCUCCACUGCCUUCCCAGGCCACAGCAGAGAGCUGGACUGGAAGAGGAACAACCAGGACAGAAUCUGGUGCCCCAACUGGGACUAGAACCCGGGGUGCCAGCACCACAGGUAGAGGAUUAACCAAGUGAGCCGUGACACCAGCCAAUCUCUUUUAUUUUUUUUAUAAGAGGAGAGAGUUUUACCACUUCUGUUGUCAUACUCUCAUGCUCACCUUCUCUGCUCCAAGGAGACCAGUUGCAGAGCUCUAGCCCCAGUGAGUGUUGUAUUCGUCCACACUGCCACAAGAACACACAAAGCAUCGGUGCAGUUCACAGUGUGAGCCUGGAUCCUGCAGCAAUGACUCUCACCAGAGAAUCAGGGCAACCUGAGCAUGUGGAGCAGCCCAGAAUGACUGCCCAGGGACCCAGCCACACCCUGCACCCUUCCAUGCAGCCACAGUGUUUUCACAGUCCCAGCACACAAGGCUCCCGCAGUCAAAACUGCCCAGACCCCUGUCAGUUCUCCCAGCAGACUCAGGCGUCUCAUCUCAGCUGGUUGCUGGGUACCUGGACACAAGCUGGAACUGCUGAUAAAUAUGUCCAAAGUGGUUCCCGCCAUACCUCAGCUAGUUACAGGAUACCGAUGCAGGGUGGCUCAGGGAGAUAGAAAUAUAUGCCCCCCCCCUUUAUUCUUCUAGGUGGCAGGUACACUGUCCCCCACAGGGCUCCAAGCCAAACUCAUUCCAGGCUGUUCCCUCAGCUUUAUUGCCAGUGGCUCGGGCUACUUCAGUGAUCUCAGCUCACUCUCCAAAGCUGGUGUUGAUGCUCUUGGCCACUUGGUUACUGAGUUCUGUGUGUCCAUUCCUGAGUUGCUAAUUUCCAAUUUCAUUCCUUUAUGGUCUUAGAAGCUUGACCCUAAUUUAAGAAGCAGAGAGACUCAGAAUGAUUUUUAACUGUUCACUUCCACUAAACUGUGAUCCACUGGGUGAUUCCAACUCUGCCAGAAAUGGAAGCUGGGAACUAAAUCCAGGUCUCCCACUUGCAUGGCAGUGAUAGAUCUCUGUGAGUCGUCAUCUGCUGACUCCCAGGGUCUUCACUGGCAGAAAGCUGGAUUCAAACUGAGGCUCUGUAAUUGUGGGUGUCUCAAUGAGUGUUCCAACUACAAGGCAAAAUGCCCACACACAACAAUGUUUUUAACUGUCAAGGCAGGUCACCUCCAGCCUCCAGCAGUUGGACAGUUACCAUCGAAGUGUCCUUACCAUUUGCUGCAUUCAGCAGCUUCUCUCUUCCUGGUAAGCUGGUAUUUCUCGUAGUGGCCUAUAUUUCUCAUGUUCAGGGAUGCUCUUUUCGUUAUGACCUCAAUUCUUAGGCUAAUCUAAGAAGAGAAUUGGUGUGUGUUGUACUAUUUUCUUUUCUGAGAGUCUGAGACCUGAUGUUUGUCUUUACUCUGUUGUCUCCUGCAGCAGCAUGGGCUUAGUCUACAUUCUGAGCUCAAGAGCUGAGGGAGUGCAUCAGAGAAAGCAUGUUUGGGGGACAGGAGUUAACCCAAGCAACACCAAGUGACAUUAGAGCAAGUGGCAUCCAAAGAGGGUGCAGAUAGGGAUAAGUCGAGUCAGAAACUUCAGGGGACUCUCACAUAUGCCUGAUCCACCAUCCAAGUCCUCCAGGGGCAUCCUGAGUUGAGCAGUAAGGACUGGGAGAGGAACUUACUCCACAGUGACGUGUGUACCUGUCCAGGGAGCUGCUCUGAUGGACCCAGAUUAGGUUUACAGGGAGUGGAUGCACUGCCUCCUGGAGGAUGAGGCUGUGAGCCUGAGGCUCUGACCAGACACAGGAGCCUCAGUUCUGGGGCUGUCCUUGCAGGUGAUGCCCUCUAAGGAGAGUUGACUUAGAGAGAGCAGGUGGAACUUGAGGAAGGGAUGGGCAUGUCUGUUCUUACAUUGAAUAGUUCUUCCCUAAAGUCAGGUAUAUCAGGGUAAUGGGACCCUUCCUCUGAAGUGUUGGUACUAAGGAUAUUCUUCCGGGCUUUGAGUUGAGAAAGACUUUACACACAGUACUUUUUAGCUGUGACAAGUAUUUGGGAUUCAGCUAUCAAUGUGUCGCUGCAGAAACUCAAGACCGUGAAUGGUAUAUCACAGGUUGUUUUGCUAACAAUGUGAUGUUUCUGAUACACUGGAGGAUUCUGUCAGCCCAGAGCCUGGCAGGGUAGGACAAGCACAUUGGAGGUCAUGACAGUAAGAUGAAGAGAGGACUCCUCUUGUACAGAUAUUCUAGAAAAUUACCAGCAACAUGAAGCAAAUCUGUCAGCACAUGUGAAUGAAAAAACCAAAAGGGGAAAAGCUGUUAUCAAAUGAUCUCUUAAACAAACAUCAGACAGGCAGUGAAUCUGCAGCAUGUUUGAAUAUAAUUGUAGAGCAGUGUAUUUUUCUGUUUUUAUCAUAGCUCCCAAAGAGGAGUUCACUAUCUUUGGAUGGUGUAGGGCAGAGUUCUCCUUCAUGAAGGGAUCGUGCUGCAUCUGUGCUGAGAGCACAGUACACUUGACAGGACCUUAGGGAAGGAGUCUGUCUGUCAGGGUAUUAUAAUCACUUUGACUCACUGCUGACACACAGAAAUGGAUGCUGCCAAGAUUGCCCAGAAAACUAAUGAUAAUAAUAGCUAAUUUUUUUGGUUAAAAUAUUUUGAAAGAACUCAGAAAGUAUUCUGGGGAGUGCAACUGCUCAGUAAAAUUUUGGAAAGGCUGAGUCAUCUCACCUGACCUGCUGAGAGUCAGAAAACAGAAUAUUCAGAUUCCUGGUGCUUCUGGUGCAAGAAGUGAAGGCAGCUCCUGUUCAACAGGACUACCAUAAGCAAUGGGUUAAAAUACGUGAAGUAAAAGGAAUUGCUCCAGAAAAAAAUGUUACCCAUCAGAUUUUCUCAGAAUAUCAAAGAUGUUAAAAUAAUUAUCACAUAGCAGAGUACUGAUAGCAAUGCCACAUUGCAAUGUUAACUCUUGGACAGAUAUUCUAGAAAAUUACCAGCAACAUGAAGCAAAUCUGUAAGAACAUGUGAAUGAAAAAACGAAAAGGGGAAAAGCUGUUAUCAAAUGAUCCCUUAAACAAAUAUCAGACAGGCAGUGAAUAUGCAGCAUGUUUGAAUAUAAUUGUAGAGCAGUGUAUUUUUCUCUCCUAAGACUCUAGUCUUUAAAUUGGUCACAUCUCAGUUAAUAGGCUCAAUUCUCUGUACAGAAUACUUUAUAUCAGAUGAAUGUGUGCAUGUGUGUGUGCAUGUACAAGUGCAUUCUGAAGAGGAAAGGAGAUCAGAAAUAAUUGAGAACAAAAUAUUAUCUAAAUCAGAAUGAAAAUUUCCUUCAUGUCUCUCCCUUUGUAUUUUCAGAAAAGAGUUAUUUGCCAAAGAGUGAAUAUGAUGGCAUUGACUAAUGUUCUGACGAGGGCAGAAUAUUCUACUCCCAAAACAAUGUACCCAGUGGUUUUCAGCAAGGAAACUGUUAAAUUUCCCAAAGGAAUUCCUUACUGUUAGUAAGACUUCUGAAAAUUCACUAGUGAGAAUAAAUGCCACGAAAUCUAACAUUAGUACUCUGAACUGAAUUUGCUUAUGCCAUACCUCUAAAAAAUAAAUUGUAUUCUGCUAUGUUGCUAUGCCCAUUCAUGAGGCAUAACUAUUUUAAAGUAAAGCAUCUUGGGGAUUCCAGAAGAGCAGGAUGGGGAAAGGGUGUACUGCUUUAGGCUAGGGGAAAACAGUAAAAAAAAAUAGUGGAUGAAAUAUAUUCUUAGCGGAGACUUGGACAGCAAACUACAGGAAGUGCUGAGGAAGGAAGAAGGACACCGUGGAUCAUGGUGGAAAGCCCACGUGGAUGCAAAGCAGCAAGCACAGACACAGCACAUGACCCCAGGAGCCGAGAGCGGGAGACUGCACCAGCUUUGGAGAGUGAGGUAAGAUCAGUCUGCAGAAACCUGUGACACUGGUGAUCUAGCUGGAGGGAGAGCCUGGUCGACUGCACUGUCUGUGAAUGCGGCCUGGAGUCCUCAGUGGGACAGGGCACCCACUUACCCAGUGGGAAAAAGGGGCACAUUUCCCUCUCCCCAUUUCCCCACAAACAGGUGGCUGAGAGAGGGCAGGUAGAAUUAUGGGUGUAAGAGUAGCAGCUGAGCAGGUGUUGGACAGAUGGUGGGGAGGAGGAGAUGCCAUUAUGAAACGAGGAGGGGCUGUGGCGAGUGACUCUUGGUGCACGUGUGGGAUCCAUGGAUAUUGCCAGAGAACAAAGUCCCUGUUCCCCACUGACCUUGAGUCUGGCUGGGAGGAUUGAUGGGGGCUGUGCACCCAGGUAGGACUGUGAGGUACUCCCAGGCACUCAACAUAUCAGAGGCUCAGGGGCUCAAAACCCAAGGUGGAGCAGCCACAGAGAGCUGGUUCUGGGAACAUGGCUCUCUCCAUGGAUGGGUGGAGCAGAUCUUCUGCACGCCAUGGCUCAGAGAGGUUCCCCCAGGUAUCCCAGUUGGAUUCAGAGGCCCAAAGACAUGGGCCAUCUUCUCUGCUUUCCCACGUGGGAGAUGUGAAUGAAGCUCCUGGUUGCUGAGUUCAGUCUAGCUCAACCAUGGCAUCCAGGAUUCUCCUGGAAAACUUCUCUUUGGGGGAGGGUGUGUGGCACAGCAAUGACACCACCUGUUGGGACGCUCCCAUCCCAUAACAGAGGGCCUGAGUUCAAGUCCCAGCUCUCCUUCCAGUUCCAGUUUCCUGUAAUACCCACCCUGGGAGACAACAGGUAGUGGCUCAAGUUGUUGGGUCCUUGCCACUCACAUGGACCCAGGUUGAAUGCCUGGGUCCUGGCUUCUGCCUGGCCCAGCCAUGGAUGUUGUGUAUACUUGGAGGGCUAAACAAGGAUGGACGUUCUCCCCAUCUGGCCCUUUCUCUUUUGUGUGUCCCUGCCUUUCCAAUCAAUAAAAAAAUUGGGGGCCAGUGUUGUAGCAUAGUAGGUUCAGUCACCUUCUGUAAUGGCAGCAUCCCAUAUGGGCACUGGUUUGUAUGCAGGCUGUUCCACUUCUGAUCAGGAUUCUCCCGAAUGUCCUGGGGAAAGCAGUGGCACAUGGAACAAGUGCUUGGGGCCCUGCCACCCUCUUGGGAGACCGGGAAGUCUCGACUCCUGACUCCUGACUCCUGGCUUUGGCCUGCUCCCAUAGUGGUUGAUGCAACCACCUGGGAGUAAACCAGUUGGAUGGAGGAUCUCUCUAUGUCACACUCUGUGUAUCUUUGGCUUUCAAAUAAGUACCUAAUCAUAAAAAAAUAAAAAAAUUGUUUGUCACACUGGUCUUCCCUGUCCCAAAGGGCCUCUAACCUCAGGCCAGCAGGACUGGCGCUUUCCUGCAUUCUUGUCUUUUGAAGUUUGCUCUUUUUACUGGCAAGUACUUAAACAUGGGUUUCUUGCUAUCCCCUCCACACCAUGUCUAACAAACCAAGCUGCUGGUUUUCACAGACAGCCCCACACACUCUGGUAGCACUGCAAGGUCAAAGUUGUUAACCAUAAGCAAUUUUCAAAGAGAAAAAGACACAUAGAAUUCUUUUUCUCAAAUAAAACAUGAAACCUAAAUAUAAAAUUUUAAAGAAUAUUGACCCUCUAGUUUCUGCAGGAAACCGCCAUAACACAGGCCCCAGAGCAGUUUGCACAUCAGCUCUUUCUGAAAUCAAAGUCCCUUAAACUGUCAUUUAGAAGACCUUUCCUCAUUUCCUUUACAAUCCUGGGCAGGUUGAUGUCAAUAAAAUCCUUUUCAUCUGUAUUUUAAGAUAUGAAGCACACUUUCUUAAAUACCCUUAAUCCACUUACAAACUAAUGCUAAAACACAGUCUUUUUCUUUUAUUCUGUGUUUAAGGACUGAUCUAAUAAUAUUACUUAUGUUAUAGAAACUAGAAUGGAUUAGACUCUGUGCUCACUGGGUCCAGGCAAAUAGGUAAUCAAUUGGUAUUCCCUUACCUCUUCAUGAUGAACAUAAAUGUGGAAGUUUUCAUAGUGACUUUGCCAACCUAUCAGUGCCUACAGAGCAAGUAUCAACUGCUGUGGGUGUGAUCUACAGAAAGUGGAGUAUCAUCAUCCCAUUUAACACUAAUUCUGUGUAUUAUAAAGAGUUUAUUCAUUUCAUCGAAAUUAUUUAACUGGUCAGCAUGAAUUCCACCUUAUUUCUUUAUUAUUUCAAUAUCUGUAGGAUAAAAUUUUUUAUUUCUGCUAUUUGUUAUUUUUGUAUUUCCUUGUUAAAUUAUUCUAGUAAAGUUUUAGAAAUUCCCCUUUUUUCCCCAUAGACAAUAGUUACCAUCAUUAGUUUUCCUGUGUUCUUUGCUUUCAAUUUAAUUUUGUUCCACUCCACUUCUCUUUCUUUUGUUGUUACUGGUUUUAUCUACUUUCAUUUACUUCCUUAGGGUGUAUCAUCGAUUUAAACAUUUUCUAAUAAUAUCAUUUUAAACAUUAAUUUUCCUAUAAAUUCUGCUAUCCUGCAUGCCACAGAUUUCAAAAACCCAUGUUUUAAUUAUCAUUCAACUCAAAAUAUGUUUCAGUCCUGAGAUUUCUUUUGGAUUUGAAGAUUUAUUUAGAAGUGUAUUGCUUAAAAUGGUUGGAUAUUUUAAAAAUAUUUCCUUCUUACUGAUUUCUAAUAUAGUCCUGUUACAUUUGGACUGUUUUACUUUAUCUCUUUCAAAUUUAUUGAGAUUUAACUAUGACACUUUAUUUAUUUAUUUAUUUAUUUAUUGACAGGCAGAGUGGACAGUGAGAGAGAGAGACAGAGAGAAAGGUCUUCCUCUGCCGUUGGUUCACUCUCCAAUGGCCGCCGCGGCCGGCGCGCUGCGGCCGGCGCACCGCGCUGAUCCGAUGGCAGGAGCCAGGUACUUCUCCUGGUCUCCCAUGGGGUGCAGGGCCCAAGCACCUGGGCCAUCCUCCACUGCACUCCCUGGCCACAGCAGAGAGCUGGCCUGGAAGAGGGGCAACCGGGACAGAAUCCGGCGCCCCGACCGGGACUAGAACCCGGUGUGCCGGCGCCGCUAGGCGGAGGAUUAGCCUAGUGAGCCGUGGCGCCGGCCUAACUAUGACACUUUAAAAUACUGUCUAAUGAGUCAAUGUUUCAUGUGUACCUGAAAAUAACAUGUAUUUACAUUUCUGCAAAUAGAAUUCUAUAAAUGUUGAUUAGGAUGAGCUUAUUGAUAAUGAUUUUUUUAAAGAUUUAAUUUAUUUAUUUGAAAGGAACAGUUACAGAGAGAGGUAGAGAGAGAAAAGAGAGGUCUUCCAUCUGCUGCCUCAUUCCUCAUAGGGCUGGAAGUGCUGGAGCUGAGCCGAUCCGAAGCCAGGAGCCAGAAGCUUCUUCUGGGUCUCCCACAUGGGUGCAAGGGCCCAAGGAUUUGGGCCAUCUGCUGCUGCUUUCCCAGGCACAUUAACAGGGAGCUGGAUCAGAAGUGGAACAGCUGGGACUUGAACCAGAGCGUAUAUGGAAUGCCAGUGCUGCAAGUUAGGCUUUAACUGCUGCCCCACAGCGCCAGCCAUAACAAUGAUUUUUGAAAUGCAUGUUUUGUGCUCUUUUUUUCUAAUUUCAACAGUUACAAAAAUUAUGUGAGAAUCUCCAACUAUGAUUGGAGAUUUAUCAGUUUAUUUUCUCAGCUACAUUUUAAUUCAAAUAUUUUGAACUUACAGUAUUAUAGUGCUAUAGCUCAUUGAUAUAUUCACUAUUUAUCUUCAUAGAAUGGUAUGCUUUAUCUUGAGUUACUUUUUCCCUAGAUAUUAAGGGCACAGGAGUGGCGGUGGGGGCAUCCGUCCCAGGUGAGGAUUGCAGGAGUGAUGGAGGGCAGAUCCACCCCAGGUGAGGGGUGCAGGAGUGAUGGAGGGGAGAUCCUCCCUGGGUGAGGGGUGCAGGAGUGACAGAGGGGCAUCUGCCCCAGGUGAGCAGUGCAGGAGGGACAGAGGGCAGAUCUGCCCCAGGUGUGCAGUGCAGGAGGGACAGAGGGGGCAUCCGCCCCAAGUGAGAGGUGCAGGUGAGAUGGAGGGCAGAUCUGCCCCAGGUGAGUGGUGCAGGAGGGACAGAGGGCAGAUCUGCCCCAGGUGAGCAGUGCAGGAGGGACAGAGGGGGCAUCCACCCCAAGUGAGAGGUGCAGGUGAGAUGGAGGGCAGAUCCGCCCCAGGUGUGGGGUGCAGGUGUGAUUGAGGGGGCGUCCGGCCCAGGUGAGGGUUGCAGGAGUGACAGGGUAUCUGGCCCAGGUGAGGGGUACAGGAGUGUCAGAGGGGGCAUCUGCCCCGGGUGAGGGGUGCAGGAGUGAGGGAGGGCAGAUCCACCCCAGGUGAGGGGUGCAGGUGUGAUGGAGGGGGCAUCUGCCCCAGGUGAGGGGUGCAGGAGUGAUGGAGGGGGCAUCUGCCCCAGAUGAGGGGUGCAGGAGUAAUGGAGAGGACAUCCACCCCAGGUGAGGUGUGCAGGAGUGAUGGAGGGGGCAUCUGCCCCGGGUGAGGGGUGCAGGAGUGAGGGAGGGGACAUCCACCCCAGGUGAGGUGUGCAGGAGUGAUGGAGGGGGCAUCUGCCCCGGAUGAGGGGUGCAGGAAUGAGGGAGGGGACAUCCACCCCAGGUGAGGGGGUGCAGGUGUAAGAGGGAAGAUCUGCCACAGGUUCCCCGGCUCAGCGCUGUCCUGCGGGGAGCCCACGCGAUCCCGGGCACUGAACGGCUUCCUGUGCAGUAUGGGGCUUGGGCGGGAUCUCAUGGUGUAAAACUCAGGGCCGUUUUCCCCGCGGGCUCAAGGGCUUGGACUCCUGGCCCUCCCAGGCCGCGCUCCCAUGCUUGCGCAGACGCCUAACUUUUGCCAGACUCAACUGCACCUGGGUGAGAGCACCUGGGUAGUGGGGUCCCAGUGUCAUCACUAGCAGGGGUAUGGCAGGAAUGUGUGCAUCUGAACGCACACCCUGGCGCCACCCCACCCCAGCCCUGCUCCGGUUCCUAGCAACGCCUGGCCGCCCCCAGGGUCACGUGCCCGCCCCCGGCCUCCGCAGCCUGCGGCCGCCUGCCUGUCGCCCGCAUACGUGUGUGUGCACGCGUGUGCAGAGCGCCUGUAUUCUCCCCACACACACCGUGUGUGCCCCGUCCCCGGGGCACCGCCCUGUGUAUGCGGGCCCAGCAUGUGGGCCCGGCCGGUCUUACAGGGGCCCUAGCCUGCCUGCGGCAGGCAUGGCGUUCAGUGGAUGGCUUACAGCGGGGACAUGGUGGCUGUGCUGUUCGCGCUGCUGGGGCUCCCACAGCUGCACGCCAGGGGCACCUCUGUGGCAGGUGGGCACCGCUCAGGGACUGUGGAUGAGGCUACGAACCAGGGGAGGGGGCUACGAGCUGCCGCCACCGCGCUGGGGGCCCCGGGCCUGGGCUCGCAUCAGGAGGGUGGUCAGCCUGCAGGGCAGGGCCCUGGGUCUUGGAGGUCCCGCGGGUGGGGCCGCCGUCCCCCUCCAAGAUGCACGCAGCCAGGGCUGACCCCCACUUGGGACCCCGCUUGUGGCCCUCGGCUGCAGAUCACGGCUGCUGCCUGGGCAGGCUGGGCCCCGGGAUUAUCAUUCUUGCGGGGAUUUGACCCCGCGUUUGCGGGGUCUGCGGGGGCAUGCGGGCUCUCUCCUCUGCCUUUUGGGGGUGGGUCUCCCAAGGUCACCGCGAGGUCACCCAGGCCACUACAGGGAGCCCCGCCUGGAGCCCCAGGGCCCAGCUUAGAGCUCCCGGGCUGCUGCUGACCCACUUUGGUGGCUUCCUCUUCCAGGUCCCCAGCCUCGACCGAGUGUGGGGAACACGGGGCACCCCCAGGCAGUGCCGGGUUCCUUGCGGGGCCCCAGCGGAGCGUGCUCUGGCCCUGCCUGGCUUAGUCGACUGUACCUCAGGCUCAGGAGGUGUGCAGAGCAGCGGCGUGCAUGGGCGUGCGGUUCGUGGUGGGUUGUUGCUUCCAACUUGGCUCCCGGGCGCCUUAUAUGGGUGUUUGGGUCUUGCCCUUGCAAGCUUCUGUUUCCUGUGUGGGUCCUGGCCACGCUGGGUUGGCCACUUCCUGCUCCCUCCCGGGUCGGGGCCUGGCCAGCUUCGGUUCUCCAGAUGCACAGCCGUGGUCCCCCGCGGGGGUUAGCCCAGGAGGGCCGCACUCUGGCCCGCCCCAAGCAAACCCUUAAUCUCUGGCCUCUGGGGGAGCCUUGGCUUGGGGUGGGGCGGCAGAGGCAAGGACCCCAGCGGGUGGGACGCUCUGGAGCUGCAAUCCCGCCUUAGGGUGGGCUUGUAUAUAGAGGCCGUGCCUGGCCCCCUGCCCUCCUGGUCGCUCUAAUGAAGGUGACUCGAACCUGGGUUGCAGAUCACAUGGGCGGAGUUGAGCUGUGGCUUUUCUGAGUCUGUGGUCCAGGGUCAGACCCUGGUGGCUGGAUGUGGCGUGGACUGGAGCGACCAGGGCCCUCACCCCAGGGAUCUGGGCCACCGGUGUCCCCUUGGCGUCCAGCUGCUCUCGUCUGAGGCCAUGUCUGUCCCUUGAGGAGUGCCAGGUGGUGCAGACCUGUGGAGGGGCAGCCUGGUUCUCCACAAGGUGUCCACAUGGGUCCUUGGACACUGGGGCUGGGGCAGCUACAGCCAGGCUAGUACGGCCUCUCCUGGCACCGGUGGGUGGCUGGCGUGUUGGGGGACACCUCCGGCUUCACUUCUGGCCUGACUCAGCUCUGCCCGGGGCUGUGGGGUUUGCAGCUAGGAAGGGACCCUUUGCUCGGGGCCACCAGAAUUCCUGGGCUGCUCCUGCGACCUCCAGGUGGGCGAAAGAGGCAGGUGCCUGGUCCCUAGGGAGCUGCACUCUGCACAGGAGCCCUAGAGCUUCAGGACCCUGCCCCCAGGGGAGGGUGUUUAUGGACAGGAGCCCCUGCCUGACCCUGUCUGCCUUGGCCGUGUCCAGGAUACUCUGUUGUGUUCAAAGAAAGGGGGCGGCACCGUGGCUUACUUGGUUGACCCUCCGCCUGCGGCGCCGGCAUCCUAUGUGGGCACUGGGUUCUAGUCCUGGUUGCUCCUCUUCCAGUCCAGCUCUCUGCUGUGGCCCUGGAAGGCAGUAGAGGAUAGCCCAGUUGCUUGGGCCCUGUACCCGCAUAGGAGACCAGGAGGAAGCACCUGGCUCCUGGGUCAGAUCGGCGCAGCGCCAGCUGUAGCAGCGAUUUGGGGGGUGAACCAGCGGAAGGAAGACCCCUUCUCUGUGUGUGUGUGUCUCUCUCUUUCUGUCUGUCUCUCUCUCUCUCUCUCUGUGUCUCUCUCUCUCUUUCAUUGUCUGUCAAAAAAAAAAAAAAAAAAAGCUGGGGUCCAGCCACUGAUGAUGGCCUGAUUGCCUGGGCCAAAUAGAAAGCUGCAGGUGGCCAGAGGUGAGGGCCCUGCACCCCUCAUUGUUCUCACAGCUGCCUUGGGUCGCAGACCCAGCACCCAUCCUGUGACCUUAGGUGAGGGCCCUGCACCCCUCACUGUCCCCACAGAUGCCUUGUUUGCAGAGCCCAGUGCCCGUCUUAUGACCUUAGGGGGUCAACCCUAGCUGGACAUGCAUGUGCUCCCCCUGCUUGCCUUCUGCAGGGGUGGCCUGCUCCUGUUCUGUGGGGGCCUCACACUCUCGCCCUCUCCCCAUAGCUGGCUUUGUGAGGCCUCCACUGUCGUAGGAGGGGUGGGCGGUGG